Molecule: transfer RNA, 71 nt
Filed under: Chitinophagaceae bacterium
Lineage: Bacteria; Pseudomonadati; Bacteroidota; Chitinophagia; Chitinophagales; Chitinophagaceae
Description: tRNA-Gln
Rfam family: tRNA
About the family: Transfer RNA (tRNA) molecules are approximately 80 nucleotides in length. Their secondary structure includes four short double-helical elements and three loops (D, anti-codon, and T loops).
Source: RNAcentral
UGGCCUAUAGUAUAAUGGUAGUACAACAGGUUUUGGUCCUGUCUGUCUUGGUUCGAAUCCAGGUAGGCCAA